RNAcentral lists this small RNA (1658 nucleotides) under Arabidopsis thaliana (thale cress). Its description in RNAcentral is "ATSL101050". Lineage: Eukaryota; Viridiplantae; Streptophyta; Magnoliopsida; Brassicales; Brassicaceae. The record is from RNAcentral.
AAAUUUUACGGGAAAAAUGUUUUCGAAAAUUUUAUUUGGCGGGAAAAAUUUGGCGGGAAAAAUGUUUUUGAAAAAAAAAUUUGGUGGGAAAUUUCUUUUUCGAAAAUUUUUGACGCGAAAAUUUUGGCGGGAAAUUUUAUUUUGGAAUAUUUUAGGCGAAAAUAUUAAUAUUUCAUUUUGUUAACCUAAAUCAAUUUACAAAUAGGGGUAAAAUGGUUAUUAAAAAUUUUAAUAGAGUAUAAUUGAAAAUGGUAAAUAGAAAAGGGUAGAAUUGAAAAGGGGUACUGUGAAAAGGGUAUUAGAAAGAAUUUUUCUUUAAAACCUUUUAAAAACUCUUGUAAAUCUUUUUAAAACCUUUUGUAAAGGUUAACAAGAGCUUUAAAAUGAUUCAAAAAUUAUUAAAGGUUUACAAGGAUUUUUAAAAUAUUUUUAAAUGGUUUAUAAGGGUUUUAAAGGAUUUACAAGGGUUUUUAAAAGAUUUUUAAAAGAUUUACAAGGGUUUUAAAACCCAUUAAAAACUCUUUUAAAUCUUUUUAAAACCUUUUGUAAGCGGUUCACAAAAGUUUUAAAAUGGUUCAAAAUUUAUUAAAGGGUUUAUAAAAUAUUUUUAAAUGAUUUACAAGGGUUUAAAAAGAUUUACAAGGUUUUUUAAAAUCCUUGUAAAUUCUUUUAAAACUCUUUAAAAACUUUUGUAAAUCUUUUAAAAUCAUUGUAAGAAGUUUUAAAAUAAUUUACAAAGGUUUUAAAACGGGUUUUAAAGUAUUUAUAUAUGUAUUUAAAGACUUAUAAAGAUUUUAAGAGGUUUUUAAAUGAUUUAUAAGGGUUUUUAACAACUUUACAAGGUUUUUUAAAGAGUUCUUAAAAUAUUUACAAUGAUUUUAAAUGCAUUUUUUUUAGCCGGAAAAAUUUGUUACAUAGAAAACUAUUAAAGAGUUCUCAUUAGAUGAGGGUCAUUUGGUCAUUUUACUUAAGAGAAGGGGUAUUUUUAAAAAUAGAUAAAAGAAAAAUGUAUUAUUGCAAAAGGGUAGUACAAAAAUGGUACUUUUGCAUAUCCCCCAAAAAUAUAAAGAUGAUCAAUCAAGAGUCAUUAAAUCCGUUUUUCUAUUACCACUUUCGUAACCAUCAACAACCACCAUCGCCACUUGCAUAACAAUCACACGUUACUCCUAUAUUUUUUAGUAUGACAUGCUAUUUUAUUAAAUGACAUUGCUUUUCCCCAUGAUUCUCGUUGGAUAUUUCUCUUAAGUUGUUAAUAUUCCAAUAUUGACUUUUUUUUUUUGGAUUUCGUGUAAUUAGUACUUAUUUUACUCUUUUUUAUAUAAAUUACAAUACGUUGUUGUAUGUUUAUCUUUUGUUUGAGAUUAAUUUAUUUUUUACCCAUGGCUAUUUGGCUAUUUUCAUACUUAUUUUAAGUCAACGGUGGAGUAUUUAUGAAAAAGUUAGUUUUCUUGAUGAGAAAAUAUAGAUAAUUUUUUAUAUAUAUAGAUGUGAGUAUUUACAAAAAAAAAUCUUAUAGGAUUAGUUAAAUAAUUGUAUAAUUUCCUUGUCCUUAUUCUAUUUAUCAAUUUAUUUCUGGUUUAGUUAGUAACUUCCAAUUAAAAUGUUUAAAAUAUUUUUUUAAUUUCUAUAUUUAUAAAAAACAGACAUAUAAUUUUAUU